RNAcentral lists this long non-coding RNA (638 nucleotides) under Homo sapiens (human). RNAcentral's name for it is "non-protein coding PRKCQ-AS1:50". The record is from RNAcentral. Lineage: Eukaryota; Metazoa; Chordata; Mammalia; Primates; Hominidae.
CACUGCUUGGUGGUGAGAAGAAACUCCCACACCUUUGGUCACAGAAGUCUUCUGUGUUUAUUGUUCUAGUGUGAGAACAGAGGAGAAGCCUGGUUUGAGUGAGUUUUUCCUGAAGCAAAAGGGAAGAGCUUAAUUUCAAAAGGAAUAUCUUGAAAGACGCAUCAACUCACCAUUAGAAAACAUGAAACGACAGAUUAUAUCCUAAGAUUGUGUGAACCUCUUACCUGGAAACCCGUACAAUUGCUUUAUCUACCAAUCCUAAACUAUUAUAUCUUGAUCUUUACUCAAUCCUAAUUACACACCCACAUUGAAAGACCUAUCUUAAUUCAGACUUCAAAAUCUUACAAACGUCCAAGUCCCUCCUUUGAAAUGCUACUAAGACUGCAGUAAGAAUACAUAGCAUGCAGUGACUGAGAGGAAGAGAGAUACUAACACUUGAAGUAAUCCAGUCUAUCAAUAGGAGAUGGACUGCUUUGAUUUAAAGCGAUUUACAAAAGGAUUUGGAUACCUCAUCUCUCCUGUUUCGCCAAGGUCUUGACUCAUCGCUGCAGGUUGUAUAAUUAGUCUCAUUAAUCUAGCAAAUGAUGGCAAAAUGCUUGGUAAUGAUGUCUAACUGGGGUUCCUUUCCAAGGAACCUU